UUUUUUUUUUUUUUUUUUUUUUUUUUUUUUUUGGCAAA
RNAcentral lists this non-coding RNA (38 nucleotides) under Prorocentrum micans. The record is from RNAcentral. Lineage: Eukaryota; Dinophyceae; Prorocentrales; Prorocentraceae.